AAGACUAUAGACCUGCGGAGUACCUGCGGAGGGAUCAUUAAAAAAAAUGAAGCCGGCCAAAUUGGUCGGCAUCAUAAAUCCUUAUCAUCCUAUGUGCACUUAUUGAACCUUUUUUGCUUUGGCAGGAGAAAUCCUGCCAGAGGUAUCCCAUCAAAACCUGAAUGUUUUGACUGACCUUUUUUUACAAAAUAAAAAAAUUGAAUACAACUUUCAACAACGGAUCUCUAGAUCGGAAGAGCA
Molecule: unclassified non-coding RNA, 240 nt
Filed under: soil metagenome
Description: partial contains 5.8S ribosomal RNA, internal transcribed spacer 2, and large subunit ribosomal RNA
Source: RNAcentral